Molecule: ribosomal RNA, 549 nt
Filed under: uncultured bacterium
Lineage: Bacteria
Description: bacterial SSU rRNA
Rfam family: Bacterial small subunit ribosomal RNA
Source: RNAcentral
GGGGAAUCUUCCGCAAUGGACGAAAGUCUGACGGAGCAACGCCGCGUGAGUGAAGAAGGCCUUCGGGUUGUAAAGCUCUGUUAUUCGGGAAGAACGAUUCGUUUGUAAAUAAUGAACGGAAGUGACGGUACCGAAAGAGAAAGCCACGGCUAACUACGUGCCAGCAGCCGCGGUAAUACGUAGGUGGCAAGCGUUGUCCGGAAUUAUUGGGCGUAAAGAGCGCGCAGGCGGUAUGAUAAGUCUGUCUUAGAAGUGCGGGGCUUAACCCCGUGAGGGGACAGAGACUGUCAUACUAGAGUCUCGGAGAGGAAAGCGGAAUUCCUAGUGUAGCGGUGAAAUGCGUAGAGAUUAGGAAGAACACCGGUGGCGAAGGCGGCUUUCUGGACGAGCACUGACGCUGAGGCGCGAAAGCGUGGGGAGCGAACAGGAUUAGAUACCCUGGUAGUCCACGCCGUAAACGAUGGGUACUAGGUGUAGGAGGUAUCGACCCCUUCUGUGCCGGAGUUAACGCAAUAAGUACCCCGCCUGGGGAGUACGGUCGCAAGAUUA